AUACGGAGGGUGCAAGCGUUAUCCGGAAUCACUGGGUUUAAAGGGUGCGUAGGCGGCGCUAUAAGUCAGAUGUGAAAUCCCACCGCUUAACGGUGGAACUGCAUUUGAUACUGUAGUGCUUGAAUCAGGCUGAGGUCAGCGGAAUGUGUCAUGUAGCGGUGAAAUGCAUAGAUAUGACAUAGAACACCAAUUGCGAAGGCAGCUGACUAGACCUGUAUUGACGCUGAGGCACGAAAGCGUGGGGAGCGAACAGGAUUAGAAACCCUUGUAGUCC
Molecule: ribosomal RNA, 274 nt
Filed under: uncultured bacterium
Lineage: Bacteria
Description: partial 16S ribosomal RNA
Rfam family: Bacterial small subunit ribosomal RNA
Source: RNAcentral